This is a long non-coding RNA of Scylla paramamosain (green mud crab), 458 nucleotides long. RefSeq lists it as uncharacterized. The record is from RefSeq and is a predicted model, not a curated record. The transcript has 3 exons. NCBI's taxonomy places the organism in Eukaryota, Metazoa, Arthropoda, Malacostraca, Decapoda, Portunidae.
GUACACCACACGCUUGCUGUAUUAAUCAUCUCUGUAUAUUGGUAUCGUUUGUGGUGAUCAGCUAUCAGAAGUAUGGUCAUGCAGAAGUCUUUCCUUAUGUUGGCAAUGCUGAGCAGCUGUAUAAUACCUAAGAUGACAUCACUUCCAUUUGUAGGAAGUGGUGAUGAACGUUGGGUGGCUGAAGCGUUUGACAUUGUGUUGACGGAGACGUUUAUAUCUCACUGUUCUCUGAUCUUUAUCAAGGACGUCAUGUCUUCCUAUUCUUAUGAGGUAAGAGCAUAUUAAGAAGCAUUGCGUGUGUGUAUUACAUAUACUCGUGUGUGUGUGUGUGUGUGUGUGUUGUGUGUGUGUGUGUGUGUGUGUGUGUGUGUGUGUGUGUGUGUGUGUGUGUGUGUGUGUGUGUGUGUGUGUGUGUGUCUCUCUCUCUCUCUCUCUCUCUCUCUCUCUCUCUCUCUCUA